RNAcentral lists this transfer RNA (78 nucleotides) under Acidobacteriota bacterium. Its description in RNAcentral is "tRNA-Arg". It matches the Rfam family "tRNA". From Rfam's summary of the family: Transfer RNA (tRNA) molecules are approximately 80 nucleotides in length. Their secondary structure includes four short double-helical elements and three loops (D, anti-codon, and T loops). The record is from RNAcentral. Lineage: Bacteria; Pseudomonadati; Acidobacteriota.
GGGGGCGUAGCUCAACGGAAUCAGAGCAGUUCACUACGAACGAACAGGUUGGAGGUUCAAGUCCUCUCGCCCUCUCCA